UACGGAGGGGGCUAGCGUUGUUCGGAAUUACUGGGCGUAAAGCGCGGGUAGGCGGACCUGCAUGUCGGGGGUGAAAGCCCGAGGCUCAACCUCGGAACUGCCUUCGAUACUGCGGGUCUCGAGUCCGGGAUAGGUGAGUGGAAUUCCUAGUGUAGAGGUGAAAUUCGUAGAUAUUAGGAAGAACACCAGUGGCGAAGGCGGCUCACUGGCCCGGUACUGACGCUGAGGCGCUAAAGCGUGGGGAGCAAACAGG
RNAcentral lists this ribosomal RNA (253 nucleotides) under uncultured bacterium. RNAcentral's name for it is "partial 16S ribosomal RNA". It matches the Rfam family "Bacterial small subunit ribosomal RNA", at positions 524 to 776 of the family's 1533-position model. The record is from RNAcentral.